AGCAGUAGCCGCGGUAAUACGUAGGGUGCGAGCGUUAAUCGGAAUUACUGGGCGUAAAGCGUGCGCAGGCGGUUCGUUAAGACAGAUGUGAAAUCCCCGGGCUUAACCUGGGAACUGCAUUUGUGACUGGCGAGCUAGAGUAUGGCAGAGGGGGGUAGAAUUCCACGUGUAGCAGUGAAAUGCGAAGAGAUGUGGAGGGAUACCGAUGGCGAAGGCAGCCCCCUGGGCCAAUACUGACGCUCAUGCACGAAAGCGUGGGGAGCAAACAGGAUUAGAUACCCGUGUAGUCCCUGUCUCUUAUAC
RNAcentral lists this ribosomal RNA (303 nucleotides) under uncultured bacterium. RNAcentral's name for it is "partial 16S ribosomal RNA". It matches the Rfam family "Bacterial small subunit ribosomal RNA", at positions 507 to 807 of the family's 1533-position model. The record is from RNAcentral.